Molecule: unclassified non-coding RNA, 2185 nt
Filed under: Hevea brasiliensis (rubber tree)
Lineage: Eukaryota; Viridiplantae; Streptophyta; Magnoliopsida; Malpighiales; Euphorbiaceae
Source: RNAcentral
CUUUCCCACAUAAUCCUUCAGAGGAUUUACCCUCUCAAGUUUGGGGCGUAGGGUUCCGUUUCUGCUGCCUGCAAUUAAUUUCAGUUUAUUUACUGAAUUCGUAGAGCUUGCGUCCAUCACAUCUACAGAAUCCAACAUGGCAACCUCAUCAGUUGCAUUUAAGUCCAGGGAGGAUCACAGAAAGCAAAUUGAAUUGGAAGAAGCACGUAAAGCUGGACUUGCACCUGCUGAGGUUGACGAGGAUGGAAAGGAGAUUAAUCCUCAUAUUCCUCAGUAUAUGUCUUCUGCUCCUUGGUAUCUUGAUAAUUCUCAGAAACCUAGCUUGAGACAUCAAAGGAAGUGGAAAUCGGACCCAAAUUAUUCAAAGUCAUGGUAUGACAGAGGUGCAAAAGUUUAUCAAGCUGAAAAAUACAGGAAGGGUGCAUGUGAAAACUGUGGAGCCAUGACACAUGAUGCAAAGUCAUGCAUGGAAAGACCUCGGAAAGUGGGGGCAAAGUGGACUAAUAAACACAUCGCUCCUGAUGAAAAAAUAGAGUCAUUUGAGCUUGAUUAUGAUGGCAAGCGUGAUAGGUGGAAUGGUUAUGAGACAUCCAAUUUUGCUCGUGUUGUUGAGAGGUAUGAAGCACGAGAUGCAGCUCGGAGUAAGCAUCUAAAGGAGCAACAACUUAAGAAAUUAGAGGAGAAAAACAGUAACCAAACUGAUGAGGCUGGGGCUAGUGAUGAAGACAAUUAUGAAGAUGAUUUGAGGGUGGAUGAAGCCAAGGUCGAUGAGAGCAAACAAAUGGAUUUCGCUAAGGUAGAGAAGCGUGUACGAACAACUGGUGGGGGGAGCACAGGGACUGUUAGGAAUUUGCGUAUUCGGGAGGAUACAGCAAAAUAUCUUUUGAAUCUUGAUGUUAACUCUGCUCAUUAUGACCCCAAGACCCGGUCAAUGCGUGAGGAUCCUCUCCCAGAUGCAGAUCCAAAUGAGAAGUUUUAUGGGGGAGAUAAUCAAUACAGAAAUAGCGGUCAAGCUUUGGAGUUCAAGCAGUUGAACAUCCAUGCUUGGGAGGCAUUUGACAAGGGCCAAGAUAUUCACAUGCAGGCAGCUCCAUCCCAAGCAGAGUUGCUAUACAAGAAUUAUAAGGUCAUAAAGGAGAAACUAAAGACCCAAACAAAGGACAUGAUUAUGGAGAAGUAUGGCAAUGCUGCCAGUGGAGAAGAACUCCCAAAAGAGCUCUUACUGGGACAAACUGAACGACAAGUUGAAUAUGAUCGUGCUGGACGGAUAAUAAAGGGGCAGGAGACUGUGCUUCCUAAAAGCAAGUAUGAAGAAGAUAUUUACAUUAACAAUCACACAAGUGUGUGGGGUUCAUGGUGGAAGGAUCAUCAAUGGGGCUACAAGUGCUGCAAGCAGACUAUUCGGAACAGCUAUUGCACAGGUGCUGCUGGAAUUAAGGCUGCUGAGGCUGCAAUUGAUCUCAUGAAGGCUAACAUUGCUCGCAAAGAGACCACUGAAGAGUUACCAGCACCAGUGGAGGAGAAAAGGCUUGCUACUUGGGGAACUGAAGUUCCAGAUGAUCUGGUUUUGGAUGAGAAGUUGCUUGCUGAAGCACUUAAAAAGGAGAAUGAGAGAAAGAAAGAAGAGAAAGAUGAAAGGAAGCGCAAGUAUAAUGUUACAUGGAAUGACGAGGUUACACCCGAAGAGAUGGAGGCAUAUAGGAUGACGAAAAUACAUCAUGAUGACCCAAUGAAGAAUUUCCUACACUAGGUUUUAUAUAUGCACAUCUAGCUCUGGUGGAUUAUUCAAGGCCUGAUUUCCUAGUUCGGCUCAGUCAAGUUGGCAACUAGCUAUGCUGUAGUUCGUUGUACUGCUCUCCCUGUGGCAAUGUAUCCACUUGGGGGCUGCUUGUUUAAGUUGAAAUGAAUGUUCCUCUAUGCAGGCAACGCUGUGUGGUCAUUGUAGAAAAGUACGUUGAGUGUACUCCAUGGAAAGCAGGGAAGUGAUUAUUGUGCUGUCCAACUCCAAUUUGUAUUUGGGCUUUAACUAGAGUUUUAAGUUCAUCAACAGUUCAACAGCCCCUAUCGGAAACAUUACAAUAAUGUAUGAAUGUUCAUCAAGUAUUAUUGCAAGUGCAUAAGACCGGACCACACUAAAGUGAUUAUUCAGUGAAAUUGCUAUAUAUAUAUGUGAGGAAUAUAUUUU